ACUCUGGGUACUUACCUCAUUGCAUCCGGACAACAAACUUAUGAUGGACAGAUGUGCUGUCACCCCACCUUCCAGGUGCAGCAGGACGCUCUGUGAUCUUUGGUAAGGUGGCAGACCUCUCCGACCCGCAGUUUUCUCAUCUGCAAAAUGGUUCACGCGAGCUGCUUCAGUGGGCCUUCGGGCUCCAAAUCUUUCCAGACAGUGGAAACUGCCCUUUGCCUGGGAAGGAGGCUGCCUUCGUUAGAAAAGUUCGUGCCUAAAUUUAGGAGGCUGAAAUCUCAAUUUUGAAGUGUCCCAUAAUAGAGGAAGAUAAGGCACCCCUAUUUUUGUGGCUUUUCUGGUUGGCUCUGCUUGGAGCACUGUCCUGGGACCUCCCCCAGCUGCCACUCGGGGCCUGAGCAACCUUUCCUCCUGAAGCCCAAACACCAUCGCAGCUGCACAAGGGCUGGCGGCCAUUCGGAUGAUUCCCAGAUGGGGAAACUGAGACUCAGAAAAGCGAAGCAAGGUUCUGAGGCUGUCAGGUGACCAGAAGCAGUUUUGUGCCCUGAUUCACUACAUGGGUCCUGGGACCCGCGGGAUGCCAAACGUUCUUGAGUCCUGGUUUCUGGAAGAGAUCUGGGUUAAAUACAACCCAGGCAGGCGGGAGACGGAUAUUGAAAGCACAGACUUAACCCAAGACUGCAGGUCCAAGGGCAGCACCAUCCUCCACUCUGCUGGGCUGCAGGAACAACCCACUGACCAGUCCCUCUGGAUUCAGGCCGGUGCCUCACUCACACCCACCCAGGUGCCAUGCAGGGCGAGGCUCUGUCCCCACAUGUGUCAGGCAGCAACUUUGACCUUGCAACUCGACUUGUGGAAAUCAAGGUCACGGCAAUGGGUGCAAAGCUUGCUGGACUAAGGGCUCUGCAAGGUGGCCUCCAGUUGGCCCAACAGGA
Long non-coding RNA from Rhinolophus ferrumequinum (greater horseshoe bat), 935 nucleotides. RefSeq lists it as uncharacterized. NCBI's taxonomy places the organism in Eukaryota, Metazoa, Chordata, Mammalia, Chiroptera, Rhinolophidae. The record is from RefSeq and is a predicted model, not a curated record. The transcript has 3 exons.